This 464-nucleotide ribosomal RNA is filed under the name uncultured soil bacterium. RNAcentral's name for it is "bacterial SSU rRNA". It matches the Rfam family "Bacterial small subunit ribosomal RNA", at positions 27 to 518 of the family's 1533-position model. The record is from RNAcentral.
GGGACGAACGCUGGCGGCGUGCUUAAAACAUGCAAGUCGAACGAGACCUUUGGUCUAGUGGCGAACGGCGGAGUAAUACAUAAGCAACCUGCCUCAAAGACCGGGAUAGCCCCUCGAAAGAGGGAUUAAUACCGGAUGUGGCCUUUUGUGGGCAUCCACGAAAGAUUAAAACGAGUAAUCGGCUUUGAGAGGGGCUUGUGGCCUAUCAGCUUGUUGGUGGGGUAAUGGCCUACCAAGGCUUCGACGGGUAGCGGGUCUGAGAGGAUGAUCCGCCCGACUGGGACUGAGACACGGCCCAGACUCCUACGGGAGGCAGCAGUUGGGAAUCUUGCACAAUGGGCGAAAGCCUGAUGCAGCGACGCCGCGUGGAGGACGAAGUCUUUCGGGAUGUAAACUCCUUUUCCAGGAACGAUAAUGACGGUACCUGGUGAAUAAGCCCCGGCUAACUACGUGCCAGCAGCCGC